GCGGACGUGGCGGAAUGGUAGACGCGCAAGGUUUAGGACCUUGUAGUUGCAAAACUGUGGGGGUUCAAGUCCUCUCGUCCGCA
Molecule: transfer RNA, 83 nt
Rfam family: tRNA
About the family: Transfer RNA (tRNA) molecules are approximately 80 nucleotides in length. Their secondary structure includes four short double-helical elements and three loops (D, anti-codon, and T loops).